This 528-nucleotide ribosomal RNA is filed under the name uncultured bacterium. RNAcentral's name for it is "bacterial SSU rRNA". It matches the Rfam family "Bacterial small subunit ribosomal RNA", at positions 28 to 575 of the family's 1533-position model. The record is from RNAcentral.
AGUGAACGCUGGCGGCGUGCCUAACACAUGCAAGUCGAACGAUGAUAGGAAGCUUGCUUCCUUGAUUAGUGGCGCACGGGUGAGUAUACCAUAGAUAAUGUACCUCUUAGUUCGGGAUAGCCACUGGAAACGGUGAUUAAUACCGGAUACUCCUUCUCGUUAUAAGGCGAGUCGGGAAAGUCUUUUCGCUAAGAGAUCAGUCUAUGUCCUAUCAGCUAGUUGGUGAGGUAAUGGCUCACCAAGGCUAUGACGGGUAUCUGGUUUGAGAGGAUGAUCAGACACACUGGAACUGAGACACGGUCCAGACUCCUACGGGAGGCAGCAGUGAGGAAUAUUGCACAAUGGAGGAAACUCUGAUGCAGCAACGCCGCGUGGAGGAUGACGCAUUUCGGUGUGUAAACUCCUUUUAAGAGGGAAGAUAAUGACGGUACCUCUUGAAUAAGCACCGGCUAACUCCGUGCCAGCAGCCGCGGUAAUACGGAGGGUGCAAGCGUUACUCGGAAUCACUGGGCGUAAAGGGUGCGUAGG